GGGACCAGCUACCUGAGACUGGUGGACAUUCAAAGUGGACUGAUACUGGCAGCUUCUUCUCCUAAAUGAAAUCCCUGCCUGAGAAGCAGAAGGAGUUGGAGAGUCACGCCACUGAGGAGUUUGUGAGUGUAACUUGGAGAGAUCUAUGGCCCUGUCAGUUACAUGGGAGAUGCCAGCCAAUUAGACUCGUUGGGGGAAUAUUCUUGGGAUCUCUCUGGAAGAAAGUGGAAAAUUCAUAGCUCUUGGAGUCUGUGGGUGAAACAUUGGGGCCUGUGAGAAAAAGGCUUGAAGGUCAGAGGAGAAGCCUUGGAACCUGUGGCAGAAGCCUUGUGUCUUCUGGGAAAGCUGUGGGAAUUGUAUGACGACGACGAUGACGAUGACAACAACAACAACAACAACAACAACAACAACAACAACAAAAGACCUGUAG
Molecule: long non-coding RNA, 430 nt
Organism: Rattus rattus (black rat)
Lineage: Eukaryota; Metazoa; Chordata; Mammalia; Rodentia; Muridae
Exons: 3
Source: RefSeq, a predicted model, not a curated record